This 213-nucleotide long non-coding RNA is filed under the name Elaeis guineensis (African oil palm). RNAcentral describes it as "long non-coding RNA (EGUI_LNC016935)". Lineage: Eukaryota; Viridiplantae; Streptophyta; Magnoliopsida; Arecales; Arecaceae. The record is from RNAcentral.
CUCUCUUUCAAUUGCUCCUCAAAAGAUCAUAAAUUUCUUCUUCUUUGAGCCACCAGCCGUCAAAUCUAAAAAUAUUUGGGCAUGGGGAUCUAAGUUGUUAUCCAAAGCAACUGGAAUGUGAUUCGAGGUAGUGCUUAAGAGGGCAUUUUGAAAGCUAGCUAGAAAAAUAUUUUUCUAUUUAGGUGGAAGAAGGAAUCAAUCUAGGUGUGCCAA